Molecule: ribosomal RNA, 890 nt
Filed under: Enterococcus faecium
Lineage: Bacteria; Bacillati; Bacillota; Bacilli; Lactobacillales; Enterococcaceae
Description: bacterial SSU rRNA
Rfam family: Bacterial small subunit ribosomal RNA
Source: RNAcentral
UGCAAGUCGUACGCUUCUUUUUCCACCGGAGCUUGCUCCACCGGAAAAAGAGGAGUGGCGAACGGGUGAGUAACACGUGGGUAACCUGCCCAUCAGAAGGGGAUAACACUUGGAAACAGGUGCUAAUACCGUAUAACAAUCGAAACCGCAUGGUUUUGAUUUGAAAGGCGCUUUCGGGUGUCGCUGAUGGAUGGACCCGCGGUGCAUUAGCUAGUUGGUGAGGUAACGGCUCACCAAGGCCACGAUGCAUAGCCGACCUGAGAGGGUGAUCGGCCACAUUGGGACUGAGACACGGCCCAAACUCCUACGGGAGGCAGCAGUAGGGAAUCUUCGGCAAUGGACGAAAGUCUGACCGAGCAACGCCGCGUGAGUGAAGAAGGUUUUCGGAUCGUAAAACUCUGUUGUUAGAGAAGAAUAAGGAUGAGAGUAACUGUUCAUCCCUUGACGGUAUCUAACCAGAAAGCCACGGCUAACUACGUGCCAGCAGCCGCGGUAAUACGUAGGUGGCAAGCGUUGUCCGGAUUUAUUGGGCGUAAAGCGAGCGCAGGCGGUUUCUUAAGUCUGAUGUGAAAGCCCCCGGCUCAACCGGGGAGGGUCAUUGGAAACUGGGAGACUUGAGUGCAGAAGAGGAGAGUGGAAUUCCAUGUGUAGCGGUGAAAUGCGUAGAUAUAUGGAGGAACACCAGUGGCGAAGGCGGCUCUCUGGUCUGUAACUGACGCUGAGGCUCGAAAGCGUGGGGAGCAAACAGGAUUAGAUACCCUGGUAGUCCACGCCGUAAACGAUGAGUGCUAAGUGUUGGAGGGUUUCCGCCCUUCAGUGCUGCAGCUAACGCAUUAAGCACUCCGCCUGGGGAGUACGACCGCAAGGUUGAAACUCAAGAAAUUGACGGG